GAUCCUGGCUCAGGACGAACGCUGGCGGCAUGCCUAAUACAUGCAAGUCGAACGAACUUUCAGGGAGCUUGCUCCCUGAAAGUGAGUGGCGAACGGGUGAGUAACACGUGGGAAACCUGCCCAUAAGUGGGGGAUAACAUUCGGAAACGGAUGCUAAUACCGGCAUAUGUCCAGUCUCCGCAUGGAGACGGGAUAAAAGACGGCUCUGCUGUCGCUUAUGGGAAUGGUCCCGNGGCGUAUUAG
Molecule: ribosomal RNA, 243 nt
Filed under: uncultured bacterium
Lineage: Bacteria
Description: partial 16S ribosomal RNA
Rfam family: Bacterial small subunit ribosomal RNA
Source: RNAcentral